This 74-nucleotide transfer RNA is filed under the name Corynebacterium diphtheriae. RNAcentral's name for it is "tRNA-Lys". It matches the Rfam family "tRNA". Rfam says of the family: Transfer RNA (tRNA) molecules are approximately 80 nucleotides in length. Their secondary structure includes four short double-helical elements and three loops (D, anti-codon, and T loops). Further hydrogen bonds mediate the characteristic L-shaped molecular structure. tRNAs have two regions of fundamental functional importance: the anti-codon, which is responsible for specific mRNA codon recognition, and the 3' end, to which the tRNAs corresponding amino acid is attached (by aminoacyl-tRNA synthetases). tRNAs cope with the degeneracy of the genetic code in two manners: having more than one tRNA (with a specific anti-codon) for a particular amino acid; and 'wobble' base-pairing, i.e. permitting non-standard base-pairing at the 3rd anti-codon position. The record is from RNAcentral. Lineage: Bacteria; Bacillati; Actinomycetota; Actinomycetes; Mycobacteriales; Corynebacteriaceae.
GCCCCUAUAGCUCAACUGGCAGAGCAACUGACUUUUAAUCAGUGGGUUGCAGGUUCAAAUCCUGCUAGGGGCAC